RNAcentral lists this long non-coding RNA (586 nucleotides) under Vigna radiata. RNAcentral describes it as "long non-coding RNA (VRAD_LNC007552)". The record is from RNAcentral. Lineage: Eukaryota; Viridiplantae; Streptophyta; Magnoliopsida; Fabales; Fabaceae.
UUUGAAUGAGCAAAUAAAUGACCUUCAUUUGUUUAUGAUUGUUUUGCCUGAUUUUAAUGACAGAAAAGGGAAGCACCGGCAGGUGAGAAGCCAGAGCCAGUGCGUACUCAUCUGCGCAACAUGAUUAUUGUUCCUGAGAUGAUCGGUAGUAUAAUUGGAGUUUACAAUGGCAAGACCUUCAAUCAAGUUGAAAUCAAACCUGAAAUGAUUGGCCACUAUCUCGCUGAAUUUUCAAUUUCAUACAAACCUGUCAAGCACGGUAGACCUGGUAUCGGUGCCACUCACUCUUCUAGGUUCAUUCCUCUCAAGUGACAACAUAUAUGCUCUAGUAAUUUCUUCCGGCCUAUUGGAUUUUGUUUGUUAUUUCAGUGUUUUAUUUUCAGUUCCUUAUUUUAUGGUUUAUCAUGACUUGAUUCCAUAUAUGAACAUUGUAGUGUUUGUUUUAUUUUCACAAUUUAAAGCAUGAAUUUAUCGAAAUAGUCGUUUAAACUUGAUAUGCGGAUGUGUUAAUUGCUGCUGAGUGCCUUUGCUCCGUGCUGUGCUGGGUCUUUCUUUGACUUACUGGUGUGCGAUUAUGUAACAACUC